UCUCAAGCUGCCAGCUAAAUGUGGACUUGAUCCAUAUUGGGGCUGGGUAUGGAGUUGAUCCAUACUGGGACUGGGACUUUGCUCCUACAAUAUAAUGUUAUGGAGUUUGCUAUUUUUUCUUCACUUUCCUUUGUGGUGGCCUCCAAUAUAGGUAACUCCAUCUUCUCCAUGGUGAAGAUAAAUGAAAAGAAUUCAUCUAGUGCUGCCAUAUAUCUUCCUAACUGGUUGGUCAGCCUUAAGCAAGCAAGCAGACAGGAGAGGUUGGAGUCACCAGCUCCUGUACUGGCAUUGAGGACCCAUGCUGAGAGGAGUUUAUUUGCAGUCCCAAGUAUGUUCUAG
RNAcentral lists this long non-coding RNA (339 nucleotides) under Apteryx rowi (Okarito brown kiwi). RNAcentral's name for it is "lncRNA (ENSARWG00000002749.1)". The record is from RNAcentral. Lineage: Eukaryota; Metazoa; Chordata; Aves; Apterygiformes; Apterygidae.